This 301-nucleotide ribosomal RNA is filed under the name uncultured bacterium. RNAcentral describes it as "partial 16S ribosomal RNA". It matches the Rfam family "Bacterial small subunit ribosomal RNA", at positions 509 to 809 of the family's 1533-position model. The record is from RNAcentral.
CAGCCGCCACGGGAAUACGUAGGUGGCAAGCGUUGUCCGGAAUUAUUGGGCGUAAAGCGCGCGCAGGCGGCCUAUCCAGUCUGUCUUAAAAGUUCGGGGCUCAACCCCGUGAUGGGAUGGAAACUAGUAGGCUAGAGUAUCGGAGAGGAAAGCGGAAUUCCUAGUGUAGCGGUGAAAUGCGUAGAUAUUAGGAAGAACACCAGUGGCGAAGGCGGCUUUCUGGACGAAAACUGACGCUGAGGCGCGAAGGCCAGGGGAGCGAACGGGAUUAGAUACCCCAGUAGUCCCUGUCUCUUAUACA